AUCCAACCGACAAGUCCCAUAUAGGACGAAACGUAAGUCCUGGAU
This 45-nucleotide non-coding RNA is filed under the name Schistosoma mansoni. The record is from RNAcentral. Lineage: Eukaryota; Metazoa; Platyhelminthes; Trematoda; Strigeidida; Schistosomatidae.